This 504-nucleotide ribosomal RNA is filed under the name uncultured bacterium. RNAcentral describes it as "partial 16S ribosomal RNA". It matches the Rfam family "Bacterial small subunit ribosomal RNA", at positions 32 to 523 of the family's 1533-position model. The record is from RNAcentral.
AACGCUGGCGGCGCGCUUAACACAUGCAAGUCGAACGAGAACCAUUCCUUCGGGAAUGGGGAAAGUGGCGAACGGGUGAGUAACACGUGGGUAAUCCACCCUCGGCACCGGAAUAGCCCGGGGAAACUCGGAUUAAUGCCGGAUAGCCUCACGGGCUCUAUGGCCUGUGAGAAAAGGUAGCUUAGGCCUCUGGCCGAGGACGAGCCGGCGGCGGAUUAGCUAGUUGGCGGGGUAAUGGCCCACCAAGGCGACGAUCCGUAGCUGGUCUGAGAGGACGAUCAGCCACACUGGGACUGAGACACGGCCCAGACUCCUACGGGAGGCAGCAGUGGGGAAUCUUGCGCAAUGGGCGAAAGCCUGACGCAGCGACGCCGCGUGUGGGAAGAAGGCCUUCGGGUUGUAAACCACUUUCAGGAGGGACGAAGCUACUCGGGUGAACAGCCCAGAGGGUGACGGUACCUUCAGAAGAAGCCCCGGCUAACUCCGUGCCAGCAGCCGCCGUAA